CACAGAGGUCCCAAGCGUUGUUCGGAUUCACUGGGCGUAAAGGGUGCGUAGGUGGUCAGGUAAGUCUGAUGUGAAAUCUCUGGGCUCAACCCAGAAACUGCAUUGGAUACUAUCUGGCUAGAGGAGUGGAGGGGGGACUGGAAUACUUGGUGUAGCAGUGAAAUGCGUAGAUAUCAAGUGGAACACCAGUGGCGAAGGCGAGUCCCUGGACACUUCCUGACACUGAGGCACGAAAGCUAGGGGAGCAAACAGG
RNAcentral lists this ribosomal RNA (253 nucleotides) under uncultured bacterium. RNAcentral's name for it is "partial 16S ribosomal RNA". It matches the Rfam family "Bacterial small subunit ribosomal RNA", at positions 524 to 776 of the family's 1533-position model. The record is from RNAcentral.